Molecule: ribosomal RNA, 253 nt
Filed under: uncultured bacterium
Lineage: Bacteria
Description: partial 16S ribosomal RNA
Rfam family: Bacterial small subunit ribosomal RNA
Source: RNAcentral
UACGAAGGGGGCUAGCGUUGCUCGGAAUUACUGGGCGUAAAGGGCGCGUAGGCGGACAUUUAAGUCAGAGGUGAAAGCCCAGGGCUCAACCUUGGAAUUGCCUUUGAUACUGGAUGUCUUGAGUUCGGGAGAGGUGAGUGGAAUGCCGAGUGUAGCGGUGAAAUUCGUAGAUAUUCGGCGGAACCCCAGUGGCGAAGGCGGCUCCCUGGCCCGAUACUGCCGCUGAGGCGCGUAAGCGUGGGGAGCAACCAGG